ACAACUUUAAUUUCAAGCAUCUUCCGCCUCUUCUUCUUCUGCACUGCGUUUACUUUGUGUGACCAAAAAUCCAAACUAAAGAUAUGGAGGUUCCAAUCUGGCAAUGGUGUUUGAUCGUCAUAGUGAUCAUAUUCUUGGCAAUUGCUUCCCAUUUUCUGGGAAGAAUCUUGUGUAGCCCUCGAGAGAGAAUCGCAGAUAGUAAAGCCGAGAAAAAACAUGGACCAGCCGAAGCAGACAAGACUGCGAAAGGUGGCUCCGACCAACUCGUGUGAUGAUCUCAAAGAGCAUGCAUAUAUCGUCAAGUUUGGUUUGUAAUUUGUAAGUUCAUUUUUUUUUUUACUAUUAUUGUAAAAUAAUACUAAUUGUUCACAUCCAUAUAUACAUAUAUGCGUAAAUAUAUAUAUGUGUGUGAUCAAUUCCAAUUUAAAAAAAAAGAAGCAUUGGAGAGAAC
Molecule: small RNA, 451 nt
Filed under: Arabidopsis thaliana (thale cress)
Lineage: Eukaryota; Viridiplantae; Streptophyta; Magnoliopsida; Brassicales; Brassicaceae
Description: putative long intergenic non-coding RNA
Source: RNAcentral